CGAAGGACCCAAGCGUUAUCCGGAUUUAUUGGGUUUAAAGGGUGCGUAGGCGGGCUAUUAAGUCAGUGGUGAAAGCCCCCGGCCUAACCGGGGAACUGCCAUUGAUACUGAUGGUCUUGAGUACAUUUGAGGUGGGCGGAAUGUGUCAUGUAGCGGUGAAAUGCUUAGAUAUGACACAGAACACCGAUUGCGAAGGCAGCUCACUAAACUGUAACUGACGCUGAGGCACGAAAGCGUGGGGGAGCAAACAGGAUUAGAUACCCUGGUAGUCCACGCCCUAAACGAUGAUCACUCGAUGUGUGCGAUACACUGUACGCGUCUGAGCGAAAGCAUUAAGUGAUCCACCUGGGGAGUACGGCCGCAAGGCUG
RNAcentral lists this ribosomal RNA (369 nucleotides) under uncultured organism. RNAcentral describes it as "bacterial SSU rRNA". It matches the Rfam family "Bacterial small subunit ribosomal RNA", at positions 526 to 896 of the family's 1533-position model. The record is from RNAcentral.